Molecule: ribosomal RNA, 253 nt
Filed under: uncultured bacterium
Lineage: Bacteria
Description: partial 16S ribosomal RNA
Rfam family: Bacterial small subunit ribosomal RNA
Source: RNAcentral
UACGAAGGUGGCUAGCGUUGUUCGGAUUUAUUGGGCGUAAAGGGUCCGCAGGCGGUUUGAUAAGUCAGGUGUGAAAUCCAACAGCUUAACUGUUGACACGCAUUUGAUACUGUCAGACUAGAGUAUGAGAGGGGUGAGAGGAAUUUCCAGUGUAGGGGUGAAAUCCGUAGAUAUUGGAAAGAACACCGGCCGCGAAGGCGUUUCACUGGCUUAUUACUGACGCUCAGGGACGAAAGCUAGGGGAGCAAACGGG